RNAcentral lists this ribosomal RNA (404 nucleotides) under uncultured bacterium. RNAcentral's name for it is "bacterial SSU rRNA". It matches the Rfam family "Bacterial small subunit ribosomal RNA", at positions 355 to 776 of the family's 1533-position model. The record is from RNAcentral.
UGGGGGAUAUUGCACAAUGGAGGAAACUCUGAUGCAGCGACGCCGCGUGAGGGAAGAAGGUCUUCGGAUUGUAAACCUUUGUCCUUGGUGACGAUAAUGACGGUAGCCAAGGAGGAAGCUCCGGCUAACUACGUGCCAGCAGCCGCGGUAAUACGUAGGGAGCGAGCGUUGUCCGGAUUUACUGGGUGUAAAGGGUGCGUAGGCGGCUCUGCAAGUCAGGUGUGAAAACCAUCGGCUUAACUGAUGGACUGCAUUUGAAACUGUGGGGCUUGAGUGGAGUAGAGGCAGACGGAAUUCCCGGUGUAGCGGUGAAAUGCGUAGAGAUCGGGAAGAACACCAGUGGCGAAGGCGGUUUGCUGGGCUCUAACUGACGCUGAGGCACGAAAGCAUGGGUAGCAAACAGG